Molecule: ribosomal RNA, 468 nt
Filed under: uncultured bacterium
Lineage: Bacteria
Description: partial 16S ribosomal RNA
Rfam family: Bacterial small subunit ribosomal RNA
Source: RNAcentral
GACGAACGCUGGCGGCGUGCUUAACACAUGCAAGUCGAACGGAAAGGCCCUGCUUUUGUGGGGUGCUCGAGUGGCGAACGGGUGAGUAACACGUGAGUAACCUGCCCUUGACUUUGGGAUAACUUCAGGAAACUGGGGCUAAUACCGGAUAGGAGCUCCUGCUGCAUGGUGGGGGUUGGAAAGUUUCGGCGGUUGGGGAUGGACUCGCGGCUUAUCAGCUUGUUGGUGGGGUAGUGGCUUACCAAGGGUUUGACGGGUAGCCGGCCUGUGAGGGUUAACGGCGAAAUUGGGAAUGAGAGAGGGCCCAGAAUGCAACGGGAGGCAGCAGUGGGGAAUAUUGCAAAAUGGGCGGAAGCCUGAUGCAGCAAAGCCGGGUGGGGGAUGACGGCCUUCGGGUUGUAAAAAGAUUUCGCCUGUGACGAAGCGUGAGUGACGGUAAUGGGUAAAGAAGCACCGGCUAACUACGUG